RNAcentral lists this ribosomal RNA (189 nucleotides) under uncultured bacterium. Its description in RNAcentral is "partial 16S ribosomal RNA". The record is from RNAcentral.
AUUACCGCGGCUGCUGGCACGGAAUUAGCCGGUCCUUAUUCAUACAGUACCUACAAAUAACCACACGUGGCUAACUUUAUUCCUGUAUAAAAGCAGUUUACAACCCAUAGGGCCGUCAUCCUGCACGCUACUUGGCUGGUUCAGGCUUUCGCCCAUUGACCAAUAUUCCUCACUGCUGCCUCCCGUAGG